Long non-coding RNA from Vitis vinifera (wine grape), 4022 nucleotides. RefSeq annotates it as pumilio homolog 6, chloroplastic. The transcript has 12 exons. The record is from RefSeq and is a predicted model, not a curated record. NCBI's taxonomy places the organism in Eukaryota, Viridiplantae, Streptophyta, Magnoliopsida, Vitales, Vitaceae.
UUUAUAGAAACCUUCAAAACCCACAACCACACUCUCUCUUUCCUCUCUCUCAAACCAUUUAUUUAUUUAGUCCAAAUACUCCCUCCUCUCUCUUCUCUCCUUUCCCUCUCUAUAUAGAAAAAUCUAGGGUUUGCAACAGUGAAUCUUCCUCAGUUUCUGAAAAUAUCUUGCUUAUAGCCAAAGUGCUUCAGAAGAGCAGUGUUUCCAAUUGUUGUUGAGUGAAGGAGGCUGCUGAAAUCUAGCGCCUGUGUGGUUUCCAUUUCUGGCUACAGUUUGAAAGAAUAGGUUUAUGAGAAGACAGAACACUUCUAAGAGAACAAGGAACAGUCUUGAGAGCACAUCAUUUUAUCAUGCUUUAAAAAUUAUUUGACUGAGUUUUCAAAGCUUUCCAAAAAUAUAAAACAUUUCUUUUUUAAAAAUUUGUUUCCUGUUUAUCUGAUCUCUAAGAGUGAAGAACAGAUACCUAUCCAAAAAAAAAAAAAAAAAGAGUGAAGAACAGGAAAUUUUUCUGAAAGAAUAGAAUCAAACAGCUGUAUACUUUAAUCCAAUAUAAGUAUUUUAGAAUGAGUUUUAGCAUGAUCUCAGAAUGUUGAAAUGUCCAAUCUUGGAGGGCUUUAUUUCUGAAAUAAGUGGCAUGAAAUAUGUUUUAAGCUGUGGAGGUUGAUUAAAACACUGAUUCUUAGAAGGCUAUGUAAAAUUCUUUGCAAAACAGAAAAAAGGUCAACAUCAAUCUUCUAGAAAGAUGGCUACUGAGAGUCCCAUUAGAAUGUUGGAAACAAGUGGAAAAUGGCCGUCUCCUAAGGAGACUGCAACGUUUGCACCAUCAUCCUCUAGCAUGGCUGCAGAAGAGUUGAGCUUGCUUCUGACGGACCAUAGGUUUUUUGGCAAUGGGAGGGAUGUUGCCCCUAAUCGAAGUGGGAGUGCUCCGCCAAGCAUGGAAGGUUCUUUUGCUGCCAUAGAAAACCUUAUGUCCUCACAGAACUCCAGCUUGAAUGCAAGGUAUGCAAAUCUAAACAGUUUAAUUGAAAACUGUGAGCCUGAGGAGCAGUUACGUGCUGACCCUGCUUAUUUAGCAUAUUACUGUUCCAAAAUCAACUUGAAUCCUAGACUUCCUCCACCUCUAAUCUCAUGGGAGAACAGGCGUCUGGUACGGCAUAUUGGUAGUUUUGGAAAUAGUCGGGGAUUAACUUCUUUAGAUGACAGUGGUGGCAGAUCGCUCCGUUUGUCUCAAGGUACCCUUUCUACCCACAAGGAAGAGUCUGAGGAUGACAGAUCACCUCAAAAACCUUCUGAUGAUUGGGAAGACCAAAGCAGUGCGUUCUGGUCUGGACAGGAUGCAGCUUUCCUGGCAGGCCAGCAUAGAAGUUCAGUCGAUUUGAUACAGGAUGAUUUCCCCAGAACUCCAUCGCCUGUAUAUAAUCAGUCUCGCUCCUUAAUACAUGGAUCACCAGGGAAAACAGUUGAACAUGAUGCAGAUAGCAGCUCCUUGCAUGAUUCCUCUGUCGGCACAUCAAAUUUAGUUGCAUCUACUCUGGUCACAGAUAAUUUGGGACCAUCAUCAAAUGCUAAUCCUGCAAUUGCCCCUGUAUCAAACUCAUUGUCUCUUGACGGGAACAAAAAAAACCAAGAAGAUUGGCACCACAACCGUCAGAAAAACUGGCUGCAACACCAGGUACAUCAACAACAGGGCAAUUCAUUUCAAGUUCAAGGUGCCAAGUCUCAAAUGGUUUUUCAAGGAACAAACCAUACAAACAUUAACAUGGAUCAAUAUCUCCAUGGUUCCUCCAAGUUUUCAACUGAGGCACAGCCUGUGCUUCAGUCAUCUGGAUUCACACCUCCACUCUAUGCAACUGCAGCAGCUUAUAUGACUUCAGCAAAUCCAUUUUACCCCAAUCUGCAACCUCCAGGUUUAUUUUCUCCACAGUACAGUUUUGGUGGAUUUGCUUUGAAUACUGCAGUUCUUCCUCCAUUUGUAGCUGGAUACCCUCCUCAUGGUGCUAUUCCCUUGGCUUUCGAUAACACUGUGGGUCCCAGCUUUAAUGCUCAAACUUCUGCUGUUUCAACCGGGGAAAGCAUCACCCAAGCAGUUGAUAUGCAACAUUUAAACAAGUUCUAUGGACAGCUUGGAUAUGCGCCACAGCCUUCUUUUGCUGAUCCUCUUUAUAUGCAAUACUUUCAACAGCCUUUUGGGGAUGUAUAUAGUGUUUCAGGUCAAUUUGAUCCACUGGUAUCUAGAGGUGGUGUUAUUGGGAGCCAGGUCAGUGCUUUUGAGACACACAGAGAGUCUGAUGUUGCUUCUUGCUCAGUUGACAAGAAACUCCAACAUCAGAGAAGUGGGGGCCUAACUAAUCUGAACCAUAGAAGAGGGGGCAUUGCAAGUCCUAAUUAUCAUGGAAGCCCAACAAACAUGGGUAUGUUGAUGCAAUUCCCAACCUCACCUCUUGCAAGUCCAGUUUUACCAAGAAGCCCAGCAGGUGUGACCUGUCUUCCUGGAGGGAGAAAUGAAAUAAGGUAUCCUCCUGGUUCUGGCAAAAAUGUAGGCAUAUUUUCUGGAUGGCAAGGUCAAAGAGGAUAUGAUGACCCAAAAACACAUUCUUUUCUUGAAGAGUUGAAAUCCGGAAAAGGUCGAAGAUUUGAGCUAUCUGAUAUUGCAGGGCAUAUUGUUGAAUUCAGUGCUGAUCAACAUGGAAGCCGCUUCAUUCAACAGAAAUUGGAAAAUUGUAGUGUUGAAGAGAAGGCAUCUGUAUUUAAAGAAGUACUCCCACAUGCUUCCAAAUUAAUGACUGAUGUUUUUGGUAACUAUGUUAUUCAAAAGUUUUUUGAACAUGGAAACCCUGAGCAGAGGAAGGAGCUGGCAAGUCAACUUGCAGGCCAGAUUUUGCCUUUAAGUUUGCAGAUGUAUGGUUGUCGUGUAAUUCAAAAGGCACUUGAUGUUAUUGAGCUUGAACAGAAAACACUUCUUGUCCGUGAGCUGGAUGGACAUGUUAUGAGAUGUGUCCGUGACCAAAAUGGAAAUCAUGUAAUACAGAAGUGCAUUGAGAGUGUUCCAACAGAGAAAAUUGGAUUCAUUAUCUCUGCUUUUCGUAGUCAUGUUGCAACACUUUCUACGCAUCCUUAUGGUUGCCGUGUCAUUCAGAGAGUUCUAGAACAUUGUACGGAUGAAUUACAAAGCCAAUUUAUUGUGGAUGAGAUCCUGGAAUCUAUCUGUUCCCUUGCUCAGGAUCAGUAUGGCAAUUAUGUUACUCAGCAUGUAUUGGAGAGAGGGAAGCCUCAUGAAAGAAGCCAAAUUAUUAACAAGCUGAAAGGUCAUAUUGUACAACUGAGUCAGCAUAAAUUUGCAUCAAAUGUUGUUGAGAAAUGUUUGGAGUAUGGUGACGUCAAUGAACGGGGACUCUUGAUUGAGGAGAUCAUUGGCCAUAAUGAAGGGAAUGACAAUUUAUUGAUAAUGAUGAAAGACCAAUUUGCUAAUUAUGUCAUUCAGAAGAUUCUUGACAUCUGUACUGAUAAUCAGCGGGAAUCAUUGUUUGUUCGUAUAAGAGUUCAUGCUCAUGCUUUGAAGAAAUACACUUACGGAAAACACAUUGUUUCUCGAUUUGAACAGCUAUUUGGAGAAGAAAUUGAGGCAUCGUGAUCAUGAUGAUGCGAAUGCAAUGGGAAUGCUCGGUUGAGUCCUGACAGUAGAGUCACAGCCAUGAAGGCGUUGCAGCUGGGUCUUCAAGGAGAUUGUCCUUUGACAUCAAUUUGUUAAAAUUGGUUCUAGAGAACAGAAGAAAAACAAAAAAAAAAAAAAAAGAAAGAAAGAAAAAGAAGUGGAAAUUGGGAGCUUUUUGCUGGAAAAUUAUGUCAUAAAUAGUGGGGUUAAUGUUGUAAAGUAGUAAAUAUAUGUCUUGAGCAGUGUAUGCAUUGGUAUAGACCAUAUAUAUGUAUAGGAUAUUGUUAAGAUUGCAAAAUAUUUGGGAGGGAGGGGAGUUAUUGGAUAAGAAAUUCCCCUUGAAUCUUGAUUCUCUGGAAUUUGUCUUUUA